Molecule: long non-coding RNA, 485 nt
Organism: Myotis brandtii (Brandt's bat)
Lineage: Eukaryota; Metazoa; Chordata; Mammalia; Chiroptera; Vespertilionidae
Exons: 2
Source: RefSeq, a predicted model, not a curated record
GCCAGGUGCUCAAUUUCUCACUUCUGAUUACGAAAUGUCUUCAAAGUCUUCUAUUUGGUAUACAUUCACAGGAACAGGUUCCAAUCUGGAUCGGUUUCAUGAUCACAAACUUUUGUAUCCUUGGUUAUGGUCCUUUAUUCAAUUUUUUAAAAUUGAAUUUUCAAGUGACUUCAUGUCUAAUCAAGAUCCUCUUAUUUAUCUAACCCAAAUAAAAUUGUAAAUGACCAGUCUUUCCACUUGCUUCUGAAGCUAUUGCUGGUGAACAAUCAUCUGAAAACAACAGGAGAAUUUGACAGGACUUUGAAUUCCGGUGAACAGCUUGAGGGGCUUGUAACACAUGUAUAUACGUAAAAAAAAAAUUUUAAUUUCAAAAACAAACUGCUUUCAACAUGUGUAACCCAUGAAAGACACGUUCAACUAUUUUUAUGCCAGUAAAAUAAAUUAGAGAUAAAUUCCAUUUAAUGCAUUAAAAAAACUGUUCCAUA